UGGUGGAGUGAUUUGUCUGGUUAAUUCCGUUAACGAACGAGACCUCGACCUGCUAAAUAGUUCGCACCAAGCUUCGGCUUGGUUUUGUGUUUGACUUCUUAGAGGGACUAUCGGUGUGUAGCCGAUGGAAGUUCGAGGCAAUAACA
This 146-nucleotide ribosomal RNA is filed under the name uncultured eukaryote. RNAcentral's name for it is "partial 18S ribosomal RNA". It matches the Rfam family "Eukaryotic small subunit ribosomal RNA", at positions 1299 to 1458 of the family's 1831-position model. The record is from RNAcentral.